UAGGGAAUCUUCCACAAUGGACGCAAGUCUGAUGGAGCAACGCCGCGUGAGUGAAGAAGGUUUUCGGACCGUAAAGCUCUGUUGUUGGUGAAGAAGGAUAGAGGUAGUAACUGGCCUUUAUUUGACGGUAAUCAACCAGAAAGUCACGGCUAACUACGUGCCAGCAGCCGCGGUAAUACGUAGGUGGCAAGCGUUGUCCGGAUUUAUUGGGCAUAAAGCGAGCGCAGGCGGAAGAAUAAGUCUGAUGUGAAAGCCCUCGGCUUAACCGAGGAAUUGCAUCGGAAACUGUUUUUCUUGAGUGCAGAAGAGGAGAGUAGAACUCCAUGUGUAGCGGUGGAAUGCGUAGAUAUAUGGAAGAAUACCAGUGGCGAAGGCGGCUCUCUGGUCUGCAACUGACGCUGAGGCUCGAAAGCAUGGGUAGCGAACAGGAUUAGAUGCCCUGGUAGUCCAUGCCGUA
This 457-nucleotide ribosomal RNA is filed under the name uncultured bacterium. RNAcentral describes it as "partial 16S ribosomal RNA". It matches the Rfam family "Bacterial small subunit ribosomal RNA", at positions 355 to 804 of the family's 1533-position model. The record is from RNAcentral.